This 1184-nucleotide ribosomal RNA is filed under the name Serratia ureilytica. RNAcentral's name for it is "bacterial SSU rRNA". It matches the Rfam family "Bacterial small subunit ribosomal RNA", at positions 35 to 1209 of the family's 1533-position model. The record is from RNAcentral. Lineage: Bacteria; Pseudomonadati; Pseudomonadota; Gammaproteobacteria; Enterobacterales; Yersiniaceae.
GCUGGCGGCAGGCUUACACAUGCAAGUCGAGCGGUAGCACAGGGGAGCUUGCUCCCUGGGUGACGAGCGGCGGACGGGUGAGUAAUGUCUGGGAAACUGCCUGAUGGAUGGGGAUAACUACUGGAAACGGUAGCUAAUACCGCAUAACGUCGCAAGACCAAAGAGGGGGACCUUCGGGCCUCUUGCCAUCAGAUGUGCCCAGAUGGGAUUAGCUAGUAGGUGGGGUAAUGGCUCACCUAGGCGACGAUCCCUAGCUGGUCUGAGAGGAUGACCAGCCACACUGGAACUGAGACACGGUCCAGACUCCUACGGGAGGCAGCAGUGGGGAAUAUUGCACAAUGGGCGCAAGCCUGAUGCAGCCAUGCCGCGUGUGUGAAGAAGGCCUUCGGGUUGUAAAGCACUUUCAGCGAGGAGGAAGGUGGUGAGCUUAAUACGCUCAUCAAUUGACGUUACUCGCAGAAGAAGCACCGGCUAACUCCGUGCCAGCAGCCGCGGUAAUACGGAGGGUGCAAGCGUUAAUCGGAAUUACUGGGCGUAAAGCGCACGCAGGCGGUCUGUCAAGUCGGAUGUGAAAUCCCCGGGCUCAACCUGGGAACUGCAUUCGAAACUGGCAGGCUAGAGUCUUGUAGAGGGGGGUAGAAUUCCAGGUGUAGCGAUGAAAUGCGUAGAGAUCUGGAGGAAUACCGGUGGCGAAGGCGGCCCCCUGGACAAAGACUGACGCUCAGGUGCGAAAGCGUGGGGAGCAAACAGGAUUAGAUACCCUGGUAGUCCACGCCGUAAACGAUGUCGAUUUGGAGGUUGUGCCCUUGAAGCGUGGCUUCCGGAGCUAACGCGUUAAAUCGACCGCCUGGGGAAGUACCGCCGCAAGGUUAAAACUCAAAUGAAUUGACGGGGGCCCGCACAAGCGGUGGAGCAUGUGGUUUAAUUCGAUGCAACGCGAAGAACCUUACCUACUCUUGACAUCCAGAGAACUUAGCAGAGAUGCUUUGGUGCCUUCGGGAACUCUGAGACAGGUGCUGCAUGGCUGUCGUCAGCUCGUGUUGUGAAAUGUUGGGUUAAGUCCCGCAACGAGCGCAACCCUUAUCCUUUGUUGCCAGCGGUUAGGCCGGGAACCCAAAGGAGGCUGCCAGUGAUAAACUGGAGGAAGGUGGGGAUGGCGUCAAGUCAUCAUGGCCCUUACGAGU